Molecule: unclassified non-coding RNA, 461 nt
Filed under: Megachile rotundata (alfalfa leafcutting bee)
Lineage: Eukaryota; Metazoa; Arthropoda; Insecta; Hymenoptera; Megachilidae
Description: uncharacterized LOC105663183, transcript variant X1
Source: RNAcentral
UUAAAUCUAUGAUCAAGGUGAUAAUAUACAUAUUUGAAUAAUAACAAUGAUAUAAAUUUAAAAAUCUGAAUUAUACAAUUGAAAGUUCAAAACAGUAGUAUAGCGAAUGCUUGUAGUGUAAUACAGUCUUCAAAUGUGGCGGGCUAUAUCAAGCUAUAAGUUAGAAGUUCCAAAUUUGUCGAAGAAUACUAUAAGGUAGCGUAACCGGAUAACCUAUUCGUAAGCACGGAAGUGUACUCGACUGUUCAUACAGAAGCCAGACUUGUCGAAGACAAAGUAUAAGAGUACACUGUCUUACAAUCUUUGAAAGAACGUAAAGAAGUAAGCCACACACGUUGAAAUGAUUUAAAAGUGUAGUACUUUGAUGUUCCAACCACCUGUGAUUCUAACCUUAAAAAAACUAAGGGAAGUCUUGCUUUUAAAACUUGUGCCUCCAUCUUGAUUUACUAAAAAUAUAAUUU